CCUACGGGAGGCAGCAGUGGGGAAUAUUGCACAAUGGGGGAAACCCUGAUGCAGCGACGCCGCGUGAGUGAUGAAGUAUUUCGGUAUGUAAAGCUCUGUCAGCAGGGAAGAAAAUGACGGUACCUGACUAAGAAGCCCCGGCUAACUACGUGCCAGCAGCCGCGGUAAUACGUAGGGGGCAAGCGUUAUCCGGAUUUACUGGGUGUAAAGGGAGCGUAGACGGCAGCACAAGUCUGGAGUGAAAUGCCGGGGCUUAACCCCGGAACUGCUUUGGAAACUGUGCAGCUAGAGUGCAGGAGAGGUAAGUGGAAUUCCUGGUGUAGCGGUGAAAUGCGUAGAUAUUAGGAGGAACACCAGUGGCGAAGGCGACUUACUGGACUGUAACUGACGUUGAGGCUCGAAAGCGUGGGGAGCAAACAGGAUUAGAUACCCGGGUAGUC
RNAcentral lists this ribosomal RNA (440 nucleotides) under uncultured bacterium. Its description in RNAcentral is "partial 16S ribosomal RNA". It matches the Rfam family "Bacterial small subunit ribosomal RNA", at positions 338 to 795 of the family's 1533-position model. The record is from RNAcentral.